AGACCCGAAACCCGGUGAUCUAGCCAUGGGCAGGUUGAAGGUUGGGUAACACUAACUGGAGGACCGAACCGACUAAUGUUGAAAAAUUAGCGGAUGACCUGUGGCUGGGGGUGAAAGGCCAAUCAAACCGGGAGAUAGCUGGUUCUCCCCGAAAGCUAUUUAGGUAGCGCCUCGUGAAUUCAUCUCCGGGGGUAGAGCACUGUUUCGGCUAGGGGGCCAUCCCGGCUUACCAACCCGAUGCAAACUGCGAAUACCGGAGAAUGUUAUCACGGGAGACACACGGCGGGUGCUAACGUCCGUCGUGAAGAGGGAAACAACCCAGACCGCCAGCUAAGGUCCCAAAGUCAUGGUUAAGUGGGAAACGAUGUGGGAAGGCCCAGACAGCCAGGAUGUUGGCUUAGAAGCAGCCAUCAUUUAAAGAAAGCGUAAUAGCUCACUGGUCGAGUCGGCCUGCGCGGAAGAUGUAACGGGGCUAAACCAUGCACCGAAGCUGCGGCAGCGAACGUAUCACUUAAAGCGAUUCAGCGGGUUACGAUUGACGGAGCGAAGCGACGUCAAAGCGUAUACAAAGUCGAGUCGGUUUAAGGAUACGUUCGUUGGGUAGGGGAGCGUUCUGUAAGCCUGUGAAGGUGGCCUGUGAGGGUUGCUGGAGGUAUCAGAAGUGCGAAUGCUGACAUAAGUAACGAUAAAGCGGGUGAAAAGCCCGCUCGCCGGAAGACCAAGGGUUCCUGUCCAACGUUAAUCGGGGCAGGGUGAGUCGACCCCUAAGGCGAGGCCGAAAGGCGUAGUCGAUGGGAAACAGGUUAAUAUUCCUGUACUUGGUGUUACUGCGAAGGGGGGACGGAGAAGGCUAUGUUGGCCGGGCGACGGUUGUCCCGGUUUAAGCGUGUAGGCUGGUUUUCCAGGCAAAUCCGGAAAA
Molecule: ribosomal RNA, 919 nt
Filed under: Salmonella enterica subsp. enterica serovar Newport
Lineage: Bacteria; Pseudomonadati; Pseudomonadota; Gammaproteobacteria; Enterobacterales; Enterobacteriaceae
Description: partial 23S ribosomal RNA
Rfam family: Bacterial large subunit ribosomal RNA
Source: RNAcentral